This 561-nucleotide non-coding RNA is filed under the name Perkinsus marinus ATCC 50983. Its description in RNAcentral is "Eukaryotic large subunit ribosomal RNA". It matches the Rfam family "Eukaryotic large subunit ribosomal RNA", at positions 2845 to 3401 of the family's 3401-position model. The record is from Rfam by way of RNAcentral. Lineage: Eukaryota; Perkinsozoa; Perkinsida; Perkinsidae.
CAAGCGUUCAUAGCGACGUUGCUUUUUGAUCUUCGAUGUCGGCUCUUCCUAUCAUUGAGACGCAGAAGUCUCAAAGUGUCGGAUUGUUCACCCGCCAAUAGGGAACGUGAGCUGGGUUUAGACCGUCGUGAGACAGGUUAGUUUUACCCUACUGACAAAGUAGAUACUGCGACAGUAGUCGAAGUUAGUACGAGAGGAACACUUCGUCCAGAUACUUGGUUAAUGCCGUUGUCUGAAAAGACAGUACGGCGAAGCUACCAUCUGCUGGAUUACGGCUGAACGCCUCUAAGCCGGAAUCCAUGCUGGAUAAGCAGUGUUGUACACCGUGCUCAAUGCUACAAGAAAAAGGCUAGGUCAGGCUUCGGCCUGACCAAAAUUCAAGCUGCUAUACCUCUGGCUGCAUUGACUUGUGGUCAGAGUGUAUGGUGAUCAUAGCAAUUGCAAGUAUUGGGCUCGAUAAAUCCUUUGAAGACGACUUAAUUGCAUCCGGGUAUUGUAAGUGUUGAGAGUAGGCUUAGUCUUACGAUCCACUGAGAUUCAUCCCGUGUUGCGCCGAUUUGU